ACUCCUACGGGAGGCAGCAGUAAGGAAUAUUGCGCAAUGGGCGACAGCCUGACGCAGCNACGCCGCGUGGGGGAUGAAGGUCUACGGAUUGUAAACCCCUUUCGGCAGGGAAGAUGGAACGGGUAACCGUUCGGACGGUACCUGCAGAAGCAGCCACGGCUAACUUCGUGCCAGCAGCCGCGGUAAU
This 187-nucleotide ribosomal RNA is filed under the name uncultured soil bacterium. Its description in RNAcentral is "partial 16S ribosomal RNA". It matches the Rfam family "Bacterial small subunit ribosomal RNA", at positions 335 to 524 of the family's 1533-position model. The record is from RNAcentral.